Molecule: ribosomal RNA, 468 nt
Filed under: uncultured bacterium
Lineage: Bacteria
Description: partial 16S ribosomal RNA
Rfam family: Bacterial small subunit ribosomal RNA
Source: RNAcentral
GACGAACGCUGGCGGCGUGCUUAACACAUGCAAGUCGAACGGAAAGGCCCUGCUUUUGUGGGGUGCUCGAGUGGCGAACGGGUGAGUAACACGUGAGUAACCUGCCCUUGACUUUGGGAUAACUUCAGGAAACUGGGGCUAAUACCGGAUAGGAGCUCCUUCUGCAUGGUGGGGGUUGGAAAGUUUCGGCGGUUGGGGAUGGGCUCGCGGCUUAUCAGCUUGUUGGUGGGGUAGUGGCUUACCAAGGCUUUGACGGGUAGCCGGCCUGAGAGGGUGACCGGCCACAUUGGGACUGAGAUACGGCCCAGACUCCUACGGGAGGCAGCAGUGGGGAAUAUUGCACAAUGGGCGGAAGCCUGAUGCAGCAACGCCGCGUGCGGGAUGACGGCCUUCGGGUUGUAAACCGCUUUCGCCUGUGACGAAGCGUGAGUGACGGUAAUGGGUAAAGAAGCACCGGCUAACUACGUG